AUUGAACGCUGGCGGUAUGCCUUACACAUGCAAGUCGAACGGUAGAGGAGCAAUCCUCGAGAGUGGCGAACGGGUGAGUAAUACAUCGGAACGUGCCCAGUCGUGGGGGACAACGUAGCGAAAGCUACGCUAAUACCGCAUACGACCCGAGGGUGAAAGCGGGGGACUCGCAAGAGCCUCGCGCGAUUGGAGCGGCCGAUGGCAGAUUAGGUAGUUGGUGGGGUAAAGGCCCACCAAGCCUGCGAUCUGUAGCUGGCCUGAGAGGACGACCAGCCACACUGGGACUGAGACACGGCCCAGACUCCUACGGGAGGCAGCAGUGGGGAAUUUUGGACAAUGGGCGAAAGCCUGAUCCAGCCAUACCGCGUGCGGGAAGAAGGCCU
RNAcentral lists this ribosomal RNA (383 nucleotides) under uncultured bacterium. RNAcentral describes it as "bacterial SSU rRNA". It matches the Rfam family "Bacterial small subunit ribosomal RNA", at positions 29 to 417 of the family's 1533-position model. The record is from RNAcentral.